UACAGAGGGGGCAAGCGUUGUUCGGAAUUACUGGGCGUAAAGGGCUCGUAGGCGGCCAACUAAGUCAGACGUGAAAUCCCCAGGCUCAACCUGGGAACUGCGUCUGAUACUGGAUGGCUUGAAUUCGGGAGAGGGAUGCAGAAUUCCAGGUGUAGCGGUGAAAUGCGUAGAUAUCUGGAGGAAUACCGGUGGCGAAGGCGGCAUCCUGGACCGACAUUGACGCUGAUGAGCGAAAGCUAGGGGAGCAAACGGG
This 253-nucleotide ribosomal RNA is filed under the name uncultured bacterium. RNAcentral describes it as "partial 16S ribosomal RNA". It matches the Rfam family "Bacterial small subunit ribosomal RNA", at positions 524 to 776 of the family's 1533-position model. The record is from RNAcentral.